This 497-nucleotide ribosomal RNA is filed under the name uncultured bacterium. RNAcentral describes it as "partial 16S ribosomal RNA". It matches the Rfam family "Bacterial small subunit ribosomal RNA", at positions 28 to 507 of the family's 1533-position model. The record is from RNAcentral.
GAUGAACGCUGGCGGCGUGCCUAAUACAUGCAAGUCGAGCGAACAGACGAGGAGCUUGCUCCUCUGAUGUUAGCGGCGGACGGGUGAGUAACACGUGGAUAACCUACCUAUAAGACUGGGAUAACUUCGGGAAACCGGAGCUAAUACCGGAUAACAUGUUGAACCGCAUGGUUCAACAGUGAAAGACGGUCUUGCUGUCACUUAUAGAUGGAUCCGCGCCGCAUUAGCUAGUUGGUAAGGUAACGGCUUACCAAGGCAACGAUGCGUAGCCGACCUGAGAGGGUGAUCGGCCACACUGGAACUGAGACACGGUCCAGACUCCUACGGGAGGCAGCAGUAGGGAAUCUUCCGCAAUGGGCGAAAGCCUGACGGAGCAACGCCUCGUGAGUGAAGAAGGUCUUCGGAUCGUAAAACUCUGUUAUUAGGGAAGAACAAAUGUGUAAGUAACUAUGCACGUCUUGACGGUACCUAAUCAGAAAGCCACGGCUAACUACGUG